This 368-nucleotide ribosomal RNA is filed under the name Cordyceps farinosa. RNAcentral describes it as "eukaryotic LSU rRNA". The stretch from base 1 to 153 matches the Rfam family "5.8S ribosomal RNA". Lineage: Eukaryota; Fungi; Ascomycota; Sordariomycetes; Hypocreales; Cordycipitaceae. The record is from RNAcentral.
ACUUUCAACAACGGAUCUCUUGGUUCUGGCAUCGAUGAAGAACGCAGCGAAAUGCGAUAAGUAAUGUGAAUUGCAGAAUUCAGUGAAUCAUCGAAUCUUUGAACGCACAUUGCGCCCGCCAGCAUUCUGGCGGGCAUGCCUGUUCGAGCGUCAUUUCAACCCUCGACUUCCCUUUGGGGAAAUCGGCGUUGGGGACCGGCCGUAUACCGCCGGCCCCGAAAUGAAGUGGCGGCCCGUCCGCGGCGACCUCUGCGUAGUAAUCCAACUCGCACCGGAACCCCGACGUGGCCACGCCGUAAAACCCCCGACUUCUGAACGUUGACCUCGGAUCAGGUAGGAAUACCCGCUGAACUUAAGCAUAUCAAUAA